CCCGACGAGGGGAGUGAAACAGUACCUGAAACCGGACGCCUACAAUCAGUUGGAGGGGCAUAAGCCCUGACAGCGUACCUUUUGUAUAAUGGGUCAUCGACUUGGUCUAUCUAGCAAGCUUAAGCCGUUAGGUGUAGGCGCAGCGAAAGCGAGUCUUAAUAGGGCGCAUGAGUUAGAUGGAUCAGACCCGAAACCGAGUGAUCUAGGCAUGGCCAGGUUGAAGAUACGGUAACACGUAUUGGAGGACCGAACCCACAUCCGUUGAAAAGGAUCGGGAUGAGCUGUGCCUAGGGGUGAAAGGCCAAUCAAACUCGGAGAUAGCUGGUUCUCCGCGAAAUCUAUUUAGGUAGAGCGUCAUCCGAAUACCCCGGGGGGUAGAGCACUGGAUGGGUAAUGGGGCCCCACAGGCUUACUGAUCCUAACCAAACUCCGAAUACCCGGGAGUACUAGAUGGCAGACACACUGCGGGUGCUAACGCCCGUAGUGAAGAGGGAAACAACCCUGACCGACAGUUAAGGCCCCCAAUUCAUGGCUAAGUGGGAAAGCAGGUGGGACGACCAAAACAACCAGGAGGUUGGCUUAGAAGCAGCCACCCUUUAAAGAAAGCGUAAUAGCUCACUGGUCCAGCGAACCUGCGCCGAAAAUGUAACGGGUCUAAGCAUGACACCGAAGCCACGGAUCUCGUAAGAGAUGGUAGGAGAGUAUUCCAACGGCGAUGAAGGUCAACCGAAAGGAUGGCUGGAGCUUUUGGAAGAGCUUAUGCAGGCAUGAGUAGCGAUAAAACGGGCGAGAAACCCGUUCGCCGUAAGCCUAAGGUUUCCUAGGCCAGGUUAAUCCUCCUAGGGUGAGUCGGACCCUAAGCCGAGGCCGAAAGGCGUAGGCGAUGGAAAACAGGCAAAUAUUCCUGUACCAGCUCAGCAUGUUUGAUUCUCAGAAGGGACGGAGAAGGAUAGAUCAGCCACACGUUGGUUAGUGGUUUAAACCCGUAGGCGGUCACUCUAGGACGCGAAGGCGACAAACGGAGUGGCAACGCUGAGAGGUGAUGAGGUGGGCUAUGCCCUAAACUGAUUGAUUCCCUGCUUCCAAGAAAAGCUUCGGAGAUAGUGACUGAGCUGACCGUACCGUAAACCGACACAGGUAGGCGGGGAGAGCAUCCCAAGGCGCUUGAGAGAACUCUGGUUAAGGAACUCGGCAAAUUAGCACCGUAACUUCGGGAUAAGGUGUGCCCCUCGCGGUGAUGAGCCUCGCGCUCUGAGCGGCAGGGGGCUGCAGUGAAAUGGCGGUAGCGACUGUUUACUAAAAACAUAGGACUCUGCAAAAUCGAAAGAUGAAGUAUAGGGUCUGACGCCUGCCCGGUGCCGGAAGGUUAAGAGGAGUGGUCAACGUAAGUGAAGCCAUGAAUUGAAGCCCCGGUAAACGGCGGCCGUAACUAUAACGGUCCUAAGGUAGCGAAAUUCCUUGUCGGGUAAGUUCCGACCUGCACGAAUGGC
RNAcentral lists this ribosomal RNA (1490 nucleotides) under Alexandrium tamarense. RNAcentral's name for it is "partial Bacterial large subunit ribosomal RNA". It matches the Rfam family "Bacterial large subunit ribosomal RNA", at positions 525 to 2000 of the family's 2925-position model. The record is from RNAcentral. Lineage: Eukaryota; Dinophyceae; Gonyaulacales; Pyrocystaceae.